Molecule: unclassified non-coding RNA, 157 nt
Filed under: Pyrenophora chaetomioides
Lineage: Eukaryota; Fungi; Ascomycota; Dothideomycetes; Pleosporales; Pleosporaceae
Description: partial internal transcribed spacer 2
Source: RNAcentral
GUACCCUCAAGCUUUGCUUGGUGUUGGGCGUUUUUGUCUUGGGUCCGCCCCGAGACUCGCCUUAAAAUCAUUGGCAGCCGGCCUACUGGUUUCGGAGCGCAGCACAUUUUUUGCGCUUUGGUCUAGUGGUCCAGCGUCCAUGAAGCGAAUAUUUUCA